CGGAUGCGUACAUCCUUUGUGAAAUUGCCGGGCUUAACCCGGUAGCGCGCAGAGGACACGGCGCAUCUUGGGAAUGGGAGAGGUUAGAGGUAUUCGUAGGGGACCGGUAAAAUGGUAUAAUCCUGCGAGGACCGCCGAUAGCGAAAGCAUCUAACUAGAACAUGUCCGACGGUGAGGGACGAAAGCCAGGGGAGCGAACCGGAUUAGAUACCCGAGUAGUCCUGGCCGUAAACGCUGCGAGCUAGGUGUUGCGCCUCCUAUGUGGAGGUGCAGUAUCGAAGCGAAGGCAAUAAGCUCGCCGCCUGGGGA
RNAcentral lists this ribosomal RNA (309 nucleotides) under uncultured archaeon. RNAcentral describes it as "bacterial SSU rRNA". It matches the Rfam family "Archaeal small subunit ribosomal RNA", at positions 526 to 834 of the family's 1478-position model. The record is from RNAcentral.